AGACGAAAGCAGAUUCGGUUGAUCAGUCCAGGGCCUUCCCUGCCAAGAUACUGGAUUGGAAGCCUUCCCUCCACUCAGCUGAUGAGACUCGAAGUCUCUUCUUGUGACAGAAUGGUCUAGUUUAGCCUUUUGAAGCGUGAAGUUUCUAAGCACGGCCCCACUCAGAAAUGGAUGACCGCAUCCAAGUCACUGGUGGGGAGAGGAGAAUGGACGACGGACGAUGGAUGAUGGACAAUGGACACUUCACAGUGGCCAGCGAACAGGGUUUCUCUGUAUAGCACUGGCUGUCCUGGAAUCUGGGAUUAAAGGCGUGCGCCACCACUGCCCGGCUCAUAUUUUCUUUGUGGUGUUUUUGUUUGUGUUUUUACAAGGAGGCAAGAGGUCAACAUUGUGUGUCUUCCUCAACCACUAUCCAUAUAUGUCUUACAAAGCUCAAGCUGGCCUCAAAUUCAUCAUGAAGUCAAGCAUGGCAUUAAAUGGCUCCUUCUGCCUCCAAGAACCCCCAGGUACCAGGAUGCCAGUACAUGAACCACAGAGCAUGGUAGAGCAAUGGCUUCAUGGAACCCACCAGGAGUGCUCCUGAUUCAGUGCUGCUAACCUCCCAGGAUUCAGUCCCAUUGCGGGCGGGCCUCGUGCUAAGCGAUCUCAACACUGACGUUACACACGAGGAAGGAGACAAAGAGUGUGGAUGUUCACGUCCAAGUCUCAAAAGCCAGAGGCUAUGGCUGUCUUCUAUAAUCCCGCAGCACAGCCCUGCUGUAUCACUGGGAAAUUAUGUGCUGGUGUCUCCCUUCAAAUAAAGUUUUAUUGAAACACAAA
Mus musculus (house mouse) is the source of this 819-nucleotide long non-coding RNA. RefSeq annotates it as predicted gene 11716. The record is from RefSeq and is marked validated. The transcript has 4 exons. Lineage: Eukaryota; Metazoa; Chordata; Mammalia; Rodentia; Muridae.